GUGGGGAAUCUUGCGCAAUGGGCGAAAGCCUGACGCAGCCAUGCCGCGUGGAUGAUGAAGGUCUUAGGAUUGUAAAAUCCUUUCACCGGGGACGAUAAUGACGGUACCCGGAGAAGAAGCUCCGGCUAACUUCGUGCCAGCAGCCGCGGUAAUACGAAGGGGGCUAGCGUUGCUCGGAAUUACUGGGCGUAAAGGGCGCGUAGGCGGACAGCUUAGUCAGAGGUGAAAGCCCAGGGCUCAACCUUGGAAUUGCCUUUGAUACUGGCUGUCUUGAGUUUGGGAGAGGUGAGUGGAACUCCGAGUGUAGAGGUGAAAUUCGUAGAUAUUCGGAAGAACACCAGUGGCGAAGGCGACUCACUGGCCCAAUACAGACGCUGAGGCGCGAAAGCGUGGGGAGCAAACAGGAUUAGAAACCCGGGUAGUCC
RNAcentral lists this ribosomal RNA (425 nucleotides) under uncultured bacterium. RNAcentral describes it as "partial 16S ribosomal RNA". It matches the Rfam family "Bacterial small subunit ribosomal RNA", at positions 354 to 796 of the family's 1533-position model. The record is from RNAcentral.